RNAcentral lists this ribosomal RNA (688 nucleotides) under uncultured Bacilli bacterium. Its description in RNAcentral is "bacterial SSU rRNA". It matches the Rfam family "Bacterial small subunit ribosomal RNA", at positions 48 to 705 of the family's 1533-position model. The record is from RNAcentral. Lineage: Bacteria; Bacillati; Bacillota; Bacilli.
CUAAUACAUGCAAGUCGAGCGAGCGGAACCAACAGAUUUACUUCGGUAAUGACGUUGGGAAAGCGAGCGGCGGAUGGGUGAGUAACACGUGGGGAACCUGCCCCUAAGUCUGGGAUACCAUUUGGAAACAGGUGCUAAUACCGGAUAAUAAAGCAGAUCGCAUGAUCAGCUUUUGAAAGGCGGCGUAAGCUGUCGCUAAGGGAUGGCCCCGCGGUGCAUUAGCUAGUUGGUAAGGUAACGGCUUACCAAGGCGACGAUGCAUAGCCGAGUUGAGAGACUGAUCGGCCACAUUGGGACUGAGACACGGCCCAAACUCCUACGGGAGGCAGCAGUAGGGAAUCUUCCACAAUGGACGCAAGUCUGAUGGAGCAACGCCGCGUGAGUGAAGAAGGUUUUCGGAUCGUAAAGCUCUGUUGUUGGUGAAGAAGGAUAGAGGUAGUAACUGGCCUUUAUUUGACGGUAAUCAACCAGAAAGUCACGGCUAACUACGUGCCAGCAGCCGCGGUAAUACGUAGGUGGCAAGCGUUGUCCGGAUUUAUUGGGCGUAAAGCGAGCGCAGGCGGAAAAAUAAGUCUAAUGUGAAAGCCCUCGGCUUAACCGAGGAACUGCAUCGGAAACUGUUUUUCUUGAGUGCAGAAGAGGAGAGUGGACUCCAUGUGUAGCGGUGGAUGCGUAGAUAUAUGGAAGA